Molecule: ribosomal RNA, 274 nt
Filed under: uncultured bacterium
Lineage: Bacteria
Description: partial 16S ribosomal RNA
Rfam family: Bacterial small subunit ribosomal RNA
Source: RNAcentral
AUACGGAGGGGACAAGCGUUAUUCGGAAUCACUGGGCGUAAAGGACGCGUAGGCGGGUUAUUAAGUCGGGUGUGAAAUCCAAUGGCUCAACCAUUGAACUGCAUUCGAAACUGAUAACCUAGAGUAUGGAAGGGGCAGGUGGAAUUAGUGGUGUAGGGGUAAAAUCCGUAGAUAUCACUAGGAAUACCGAAAGCGAAGGCGACCUGCUGGGACAUUACUGACGCUGAGGCGUGAAAGCGUGGGGAGCAAACAGGAUUAGAAACCCGGGUAGUCC